AUCCUUGGUCGAAGAGGAUGACCAUCCCCAAUAAAGGAGGGCUGGUCUUCAGUCAAGGGCAUAUGAGUAGCUGCACUCCCCUGAUAGAACCUCCAAACAAGCUCUGAAAAAAUGAAGACAUUUUCUAAUAUCAACUAAUAAUGUAGAGAGAGUACUGGAGUUAAAUC
This 167-nucleotide small RNA is filed under the name Colobus angolensis palliatus. Its description in RNAcentral is "7SK RNA (ENSCANG00000006062.1)". It matches the Rfam family "7SK RNA", at positions 132 to 273 of the family's 331-position model. From Rfam's summary of the family: 7SK was discovered as an abundant small nuclear RNA in the mid-70s but a possible function has only recently been suggested. Two independent studies have found that 7SK RNA binds the CDK9/cyclin T complex (known as elongation factor P-TEFb). Lineage: Eukaryota; Metazoa; Chordata; Mammalia; Primates; Cercopithecidae. The record is from RNAcentral.